RNAcentral lists this ribosomal RNA (115 nucleotides) under uncultured bacterium. RNAcentral describes it as "partial 16S ribosomal RNA". The record is from RNAcentral.
CUUGUUCUUCUCUAACAACAGAGUUUUACGAUCCGAAAACCUUCUUCACUCACGCGGCGUUGCUCGGUCAGACUUUCGUCCAUUGCCGAAGAUUCCCUACUGCUGCCUCCCGUAG